UACGUAGGGACCGAGCGUUGUCCGGAAUCCUUGGGCGUAAAGAGCGUGUAGGCGGCCCCUUAAGUCCUGCGUGAAAUCCUGCGGCUCAACCGCAGACGGUCGUGGGAAACUGGAGGGCUAGAGUGCGGGAGAGGAGAGUGGAAUUCCCGGUGUAGCGGUGAAAUGCGCAGAUAUCGGGAAGAACACCGGUGGCGAAGGCGGGUCUCUGGGCCAUUACUGACGCUGAGGAGCGAAAGCGUGGGGAGCGAACAGG
RNAcentral lists this ribosomal RNA (253 nucleotides) under uncultured bacterium. Its description in RNAcentral is "partial 16S ribosomal RNA". It matches the Rfam family "Bacterial small subunit ribosomal RNA", at positions 524 to 776 of the family's 1533-position model. The record is from RNAcentral.